GGGAGAUGCUGCCCCUCUUGGGUAUGAAAUCAAAUCCAAGUCCAGAGACCAAGGAAUUGGUUUUACAAGUGGUGGAAAGUAUUUUGUCAGUGCCAAACGCAGAACAAGUUUUGGUGAGUGGUUAUGUGAGAAAAGGGGAGCGUUUACUUCCUGCUUCGGCAUUGGAGUUAUUGCUACAUCUGGCAUUCCCUUCAGCUCCAGUUGAGGAAACUGAUAGAUUUGAGACAAUCUAUCCCAC
Non-coding RNA from Coffea arabica (coffee), 238 nucleotides. The record is from RefSeq and is a predicted model, not a curated record. NCBI's taxonomy places the organism in Eukaryota, Viridiplantae, Streptophyta, Magnoliopsida, Gentianales, Rubiaceae.